UUUUUCCUUUUAAAUAAAAAACCAGGUUUCCAAGUGGGGAUGUAUAAAUAUUUUAGUGUAUUUUUCUCCCUUUCAUUCUCAUUCUAGCUCCUCGCCAUUGGAAUGACAUGUCGACCAGGACUUAUAAAGACUGAAGCUUUGAGCUUCGAAACUCUCAAACCAUACAACUUGUUUGUGCUUGGGCCCAUCUACUUUGCUCAGUUGAUCAAGGUGCAUAUGAAGGUGUGAUUGAUUUGAUUCCGACACCAUCCAUGGUGGUGAAUUACUGAUGAUGGUGCCACUGUUUAAUUUUCUUUAGAUAUGAGAUUUAGAAAAGAUUUCAUGUUUGCAUUUGAUAUUGAGAUGUGAAAUUUAUUGAUAUGUGUUUGUGAAUAUUUUUGGUUGUAAAAUUUUUGGAUUUGUGAGUUUU
This 409-nucleotide unclassified non-coding RNA is filed under the name Hevea brasiliensis (rubber tree). Lineage: Eukaryota; Viridiplantae; Streptophyta; Magnoliopsida; Malpighiales; Euphorbiaceae. The record is from RNAcentral.